Molecule: ribosomal RNA, 253 nt
Filed under: uncultured bacterium
Lineage: Bacteria
Description: partial 16S ribosomal RNA
Rfam family: Bacterial small subunit ribosomal RNA
Source: RNAcentral
UACGUUGGGUGCAGGCGUUAAUCGGAAUUACUGGGCGUAAAGCGUGCGCAGGCGGUUUCUUAAGUCAGAUGUGAAAGCCCCGGGCUUAACCUGGGAACUGCGUUUGAAACUGGGAGACUUGAGUGUGGCAGAGGGGGGUGGAAUUCCACGUGUAGCAGUGAAAUGCGUAGAUAUGUGGAGGAACACCGAUGGCGAAGGCAGCCCCCUGGGUUAACACUGACGCUCAUGCACGAAAGCGUGGGGAGCAAACAGG